Molecule: long non-coding RNA, 1240 nt
Filed under: Vulpes vulpes (red fox)
Lineage: Eukaryota; Metazoa; Chordata; Mammalia; Carnivora; Canidae
Description: lncRNA (ENSVVUG00000029958.1)
Source: RNAcentral
AUUACAGCAGAUAUCUAGAGUUUAUUCUUCUUGCAUAACUGUAACUUUAUACCUAUCAAUUAGUAACUUACAUUCUUAUAACAUUGGCCUGGUUCCUUUCCUAUAUUCGAGCUAGACUUCAUUCUGUUUUAUUUCUGAAAAGCCCCAAGUUUGUUUUAAAUUGAAGACCUUUGGACUUACUGUCUACUCUGUCCCUGCCUUAAAACUGAGUAUGGUUAUAUCCUACUUGUCAUUAAAUCCAGUUUAAAUAUCACCCUCUCCCCUGCCCACUCAACAUUAGCAUAUCAUAUGUUAUUGAUAUGUUUUAACAUUAACUUUAUCAUAUUACUUUAUUUUCCCCCCUAACUUUGUUUGUUCAUUAAUUAUCCACUCAUUCUUUCAUUCAUUUUACUUCACAGGUUCUCCGUUGCAAUGUAGGUGGCAAGAAAGCAGGAAACUCUCUUUCAAACUCACAAAUACAUCUCUAAUAUAAAAAAAUACUUUCUGAAUCGUGUUGCCAUGGUGAUACCUCAUAUAGUUUCGGACACAAAAGAUUUAAGACACGUUCAUUCCAGUGGAAUUGUAGAAUUGCUUAGAAUAUGGUUGAAAUCUGAAAACUAUUUGGGGGACUUCGACUAAUAUUUUUCAUCUUUUAUAACUAGGACUAGCACCAGAUGAUACCUGUCCAAAAUGUGUUUAUGGAUUCCGAGGUCCUGGAGCUACAAGCAUGUUUUUAAGAACUGUAGCCCAAGAUCACAAAUGACCGUACAAUUAAUACGUACAGCAGUUGGUUAUCACCAGUACCAUUUUAUCGAGUGAACAAAAUGACUGAAUGGGCUUCGCUACAGCAAAAGCAUGUGGAGAUAUCAGCUAAGCCAAAGCAUCCCAAUCAUACAGAUUCCAUUAAGGCCCUGCUGAAACAAAUCUGAAUUUAAUUUAAACUCCACAGGAAAGGGUGCUCGUUGCUCUUCGACUGCUGCUUUUGCCUCCACAGCAAGGACUGGGGCUUUUUAUCAGCCACCUGCUCUUCCACAAAGCUGUCUUAACUGAAAUGGAUAUUUUGUCUUUUUAUGUUUAUGGUUUUUAACAAUCAAAGUUCAUGAUCCAGAACCACUGCAGAGAUAUUGCUGAGAAAGAAAAAGAGUAAAACCUUCUUAAUAUCUCGAAUCAGCUUAAACAGGAUAGGAAGAUUUAUGAGUAGAAAUCAUUACUUAACACUUUCUGUGUUGGCCAUGAGCAGAAGAAGCCAAUGCCAUUGCUG